GGGAUUGCCCUAGUAACGGCGAGUGAAGCGGCAACAGCUCAAAUUUGAAAUCUGGCUUCGGCCCGAGUUGUAAUUUGUAGAGGAAGCUUUUGGUGAGGCACCUUCUGAGUCCCCUGGAACGGGGCGCCAUAGAGGGUGAGAGCCCCGUAUAGUCGGAUGCCGAUCCAAUGUAAAGCUCCUUCGACGAGUCGAGUAGUUUGGGAAUGCUGCUCAAAAUGGGAGGUAAAUUUCUUCUAAAGCUAAAUACCGGCCAGAGACCGAUAGCGCACAAGUAGAGUGAUCGAAAGAUGAAAAGCACUUUGAAAAGAGGGUUAAAUAGCACGUGAAAUUGUUGAAAGGGAAGCGUUUGUGACCAGACUUGCGCCGUUCCGAUCAUCCGGUGUUCUCACCGGUGCACUCGGGACGGCUCAGGCCAGCAUCGGUUUUGGCGGGGGGACAAAGGUCCUGGGAACGUAGCUCCUCCGGGAGUGUUAUAGCCCAGGGCGUAAUGCCCUCGCCGGGACCGAGGUUCGCGCAUCUGCAAGGAUGCUGGCGUAAUGGUCACCAACGACCCGUCUUGAAACACGGACCAAGGAGUCAAGGUUUUGCGCGAGUGUUUGGGUGUAAAACCCGCACGCGUAAUGAAAGUGAACGUAGGUGAGAGCUUCGGCGCAUCAUCGACCGAUCCUGAUGUAUUCGGAUGGAUUUGAGUAAGAGCGUUAAGCCUUGGACCCGAAAGAUGGUGAACUAUGCUUGGAUAGGGUGAAGCCAGAGGAAACUCUGGUGGAGGCUCGCAGCGGUUCUGACGUGCAAAUCGAUCGUCAAAUCUGAGCAUGGGGGCGAAAGACUAAUCGA
RNAcentral lists this ribosomal RNA (834 nucleotides) under Neurospora endodonta. RNAcentral's name for it is "partial 28S large subunit ribosomal RNA". It matches the Rfam family "Eukaryotic large subunit ribosomal RNA", at positions 71 to 938 of the family's 3401-position model. Lineage: Eukaryota; Fungi; Ascomycota; Sordariomycetes; Sordariales; Sordariaceae. The record is from RNAcentral.